GCUGGUGGAUUUCUACCCAAAGGGGAAAUAAUGAGUGGAUGUGGUUGGCGUCUGCGUAGCACCUUAUAGUUACAAAGGUAUUAGCAUCUCAGUUGCUUCUUAUUGGGGGAGGGGAGGAAUGUCACCCCUGACUGUGGCUGGAGAUAAGCAACUAAACUCCAAUUGAAUUAAUCCAUAAGGGCUGAGACUUCAGCAAAUGUGGGAUUCUGAGUGUGUCUAAUAGCUAAAAAGCAAGCUCCCCCAAAUCUAGAUGCGGCUUGCACACACAAUGGCUGCUGCCAUUCAGGGUGAGCUGUUACAGGUGCUGCCAAAGUGAAGGGCUUUCUUCCUUCCUUGUCCCUGGAUCUCCCCUCCCUCCAUUUCACUGGCAAGGCACUGCAGCAUCCACCCCAUUUUUCUACCUCUUCCUUAUCUGCUGUUUGGAUAAUAGCCUGCUACAGACUGUAAAACCUGAGAUUCUCCCCCGAGAGGAAUGA
RNAcentral lists this long non-coding RNA (476 nucleotides) under Phascolarctos cinereus (koala). Its description in RNAcentral is "lncRNA (ENSPCIG00000034529.1)". The record is from RNAcentral. Lineage: Eukaryota; Metazoa; Chordata; Mammalia; Diprotodontia; Phascolarctidae.